RNAcentral lists this ribosomal RNA (225 nucleotides) under Triticum aestivum (bread wheat). Its description in RNAcentral is "partial small subunit ribosomal RNA". Lineage: Eukaryota; Viridiplantae; Streptophyta; Magnoliopsida; Poales; Poaceae. The record is from RNAcentral.
AUGAAUAUCUUAAGCUGGAACUGUCGAGGGGGGGGGGACCCUCGGACAGUUCGUGAUCUUGUGAGUCUUGUCCAGACUCACUCCCCUAUCAUCGUGUUUUUGUGUGAAACUAGACAGUUGAAGAAUAAAAUGAGUAGGUAUCGGGCUCGUUUAGGUCUUAGAGGCUUUGAUGGUCUAGAUUGUGUUGGUCUCAGUGGAGGCCUGGCUUUGUAUUGGCAUGAGUCG